Molecule: non-coding RNA, 489 nt
Organism: Nomascus leucogenys (northern white-cheeked gibbon)
Lineage: Eukaryota; Metazoa; Chordata; Mammalia; Primates; Hylobatidae
Source: the annotation of a RefSeq genome assembly
CACAGUGCUUUGGAGGAAAGGAAGAGAUACUUGAUAAUAUAGCUCUCUUGGCUGGAGAUUUCAGGUCCCAGUGGGGAGAACAAUGAAGACACUUACUGGAUCUUUAUUCCUGUUUUUGUGGCUGCAGCUAGACUGUAUGAAUAGAGGCGAGGAUGUGGAGCAGAGUCUUUUCCUGGGUGUCCGAGAGGGAGACAGCUCCGUUAUAAACUGCACUUACACAGACAGCUCCUCCACCUACUUAUAUUGGUAUAAGCAAGAACCUGGAGCAGGUCUCCAGUUGCUGACAUAUAUUUUUUCAAAUAUGGACCUGAAACAAGACCAAAGACUCACUGUUCUACUGAAUAAGAAGGAUAAACACCUGUCUCUGCGCAUUGCAGACACCCAGACUGGGGACUCAGCUAUCUACUUCUGUGCAGAGAGACUGUGUGAAUUAUGGAGGAAGCCAAGGAAAUCUCAUCUUUGGAAAAGGCACUAAACUCUCUGUUAAAC